CAGCCGCCGCGGUAAUACGAAGGGGGCUAGCGUUGUUCGGAUUUACUGGGCGUAAAGGGCGCGUAGGCGGACUGAUAAGUCAGGGGUGAAAUCCCAAGGCUCAACCUUGGAACUGCCUUUGAUACUGUUUGUCUUGAGUUCGAGAGAGGUAAGUGGAACUGCGAGUGUAGAGGUGAAAUUCGUAGAUAUUCGCAAGAACACCAGUGGCGAAGGCGGCUUACUGGCUCGAAACUGACGCUGAGGCGCGAAAGCGUGGGGAGCAAACAGGAUUAGAUACCCCCGUAGUCCCUGUCUCUUAUAC
This 301-nucleotide ribosomal RNA is filed under the name uncultured bacterium. RNAcentral describes it as "partial 16S ribosomal RNA". It matches the Rfam family "Bacterial small subunit ribosomal RNA", at positions 509 to 807 of the family's 1533-position model. The record is from RNAcentral.